RNA transcript from Mus musculus (house mouse), 8112 nucleotides. It is a transcript of the gene named epidermal growth factor receptor pathway substrate 15-like 1, with no coding region annotated. Lineage: Eukaryota; Metazoa; Chordata; Mammalia; Rodentia; Muridae. The transcript has 22 exons. The record is from RefSeq and is marked validated.
CUUCGUACUAGUGCGCAGGCACGGCCCCGCCCCCGUUCCUUCGGCGCUCCGGAGGCCGAGUCCGCACGAAGAUGGCGGCGCCGCUUGUACCCCUCUCGCAGCAGAUUCCCGGUGGAAAUCCGUUAUACGAGUCUUAUUACAAGCAGGUGGACCCUGCCUACACAGGGAGAGUUGGGGCAAGCGAGGCUGCGCUGUUUCUGAAGAAAUCGGGGCUCUCAGACAUCAUCCUGGGGAAGAUAUGGGACUUGGCAGACCCCGAAGGUAAAGGGUUCUUGGACAAACAGGGUUUCUAUGUUGCACUGCGACUGGUGGCCUGUGCACAGAGUGGCCAUGAAGUCACCUUGAGCAGUCUGAGCCUCACCAUGCCACCACCAAAAUUUCAUGAUACCAGCAGCCCACUGAUGGCCACACAGUCAUCUGCAGAGACCCACUGGGCUGUGCGGGUGGAGGAGAAGGCAAAGUUUGAUGGCAUCUUUGAAAGCCUUCUACCAGUCAAUGGGCUACUCUCUGGAGACAAGGUCAAGCCGGUCCUCAUGAACUCGAAACUACCUCUGGAUGUGCUGGGCAGGGUCUGGGACCUCAGUGACAUAGACAAGGAUGGACAUUUGGACCGAGAUGAGUUUGCUGUGGCUAUGCACUUGGUGUACCGCGCCCUGGAGAAGGAACCAGUGCCCUCCAUCCUGCCCCCGCCCCUCAUCCCACCCUCUAAGAGGAAGAAGACUGUGUUUGCAGGAGCUGUGCCUGUCCUGCCUGCUAGUCCCCCACCCAAAGACAGCCUCCGCUCCACACCAUCCCACGGCAGCGUAAGCAGCCUCAACAGCACAGGCAGCCUGUCCCCGAAGCACAGCGUCAAGCAGCCACCAGUGGCCUGGGUUGUGCCUGUGGCAGAUAAGAUGCGCUUUGAUGAGAUCUUUUUGAAGACAGACCUGGACCUUGAUGGCUAUGUGAGUGGCCAGGAAGUUAAGGAGAUCUUCAUGCACUCAGGCCUCACUCAGAACCUUCUGGCACACAUCUGGGCCCUGGCUGAUACAAGACAAACGGGCAAGUUAAGCAAAGAGCAGUUCGCACUAGCUAUGUAUUUCAUUCAGCAGAAGGUCAGUAAAGGCAUCGACCCUCCUCAAGUCCUCUCGCCUGACAUGGUGCCACCCUCUGAGAGAGGCACUCCCAUUCCAGACAGUUCAAGUACUCUGGCAUCAGGAGAGUUCACUGGUGUUAAAGAGCUGGAUGACAUUAGCCAGGAGAUCGCACAGUUGCAGAGAGAGAAAUACUCAUUGGAACAAGACAUCAGAGAAAAGGAAGAGGCAAUCAGACAGAAAACCAGCGAAGUACAGGAAUUACAAAAUGACCUAGACCGGGAAACUAGUAGUCUGCAGGAGCUUGAGGCUCAGAAACAGGAUGCCCAGGACCGCCUGGAUGAGAUGGACCAGCAGAAGGCUAAGCUGCGGGACAUGCUGAGUGACGUGCGGCAGAAAUGCCAGGAUGAGACCCAGACAAUCUCAUCAUUGAAAACCCAGAUUCAGUCUCAGGAGUCAGACUUGAAGUCCCAGGAGGAUGACCUGAACAGGGCCAAGUCAGAGCUGAAUCGGCUGCAGCAAGAGGAGACACAGCUGGAGCAGAGCAUCCAGGCUGGACGUGCACAGCUGGAGACCAUCCUCAGGUCCCUGAAGUGCACACAGGAUGACAUCAACCAGGCAAGAAGCAAGCUGUCCCAGCUACAGGAGAGCCACCUAGAAGCUCACCGGAGCCUGGAACAGUAUGACCAGGUGCCUGAUGGGGUCUCUGGUACCAGCCUGCCUGACCUGGCCACCUUGAACGAAGGCAUCUUGCUGGCAGAGAGGGGCGGCUUUGGAGCUAUGGUAAAGGUCGAGUAAGAGUCUCCGGGUCCACGAGGGCUCUGCUGCAACUGUAGAUCUGCUCACAACACUGGCUCCCUCAAUGUGUCCCUUUGUUUUUGCUAGUUGUCUGCCUGCCCAGGUCCCAGGGCUGGUGGCCGAGUUCCUCUGUCAUCUAGAAGCUGUGAGGCCCAGGUGUUUCAUCUCCUCAGAAGUGUUUCUUUUGGGCCAGUCACCCAAAUGUGGAGGGCAAACCUAACCAAAGCCAGUUUGGUCCCAUGCUGUGGGAGCUCGGUGCUCUACUGAUACAGCCUUGGGUGCAAGUAUGUGUCGUUCAAGUCAAGUGAUUCUGAAAGAUGGAGAAACAGGCUCCAGCUGCAGCUUGGUAGUAAGCACUGCAGGCUCCCAGUUCCAUCACUAAGCACCACAGCACAUCUGCUCUCCAGGUUCUGUGCAGCCAGCUGUUGGCUGGCCUCUGGGAGGAAGAACCUCAGCACUGUGUGGCCACACUGCUCGUGAGCCAUUGAUGCUCCAUGCGACCCUUCUCUAAGGUUGUCAGUGCCCUUGUUGGAGUCAUCAGCCCCAACUCAGGGAGGGAUGUCUCUGUGGCCAUAAUCCGGGGUAUUAUGUAUGCUACUUUAACCUCUCGGCCGCCUCAUCUUCCAGGGCUCUCGUUGCUCCAGCCCUGCUGCUUUUCCUCUUUGUACCUUCCCUCUUGUGGUCGCCACUCGCCUUGCACUCUAAACACAGCUACCUUCCCUCUCUCUUCUCUUCUCUUUCUCAUCCAAGAACUCACAGAGAAGCCUGUUCUUUCCUUGGACCACUUAGAAGGUGCUGUUUAUAUUUCUGCCUGUCCCUCAUGUCUGCCCACCUGGAGUUCCCCUUCACUCUUAGACUUAUAAGUAGGUGGCUUCCUGCCCACAGUGGGCAUCUGUUCCAUGGAAUUCCCAUGGAAUUCCUUGCUUUUUGGCCUGUAGCCAGUGUGUGUUUCUGUCUUCUUACUGUAGUCUUUGCUUUGGCUCCAUCUCACCAUUGUCCCCUGUGCAGCUGGCUUGUCCUAUGUCCUGGGCCAGGGAAAUGCUCCCUCUAAGUCUCCCCUUGUGGAUUGUUUGGUGUUUUCUUUCUUUCUCUCUCUUUCUCUCUUUCUCUCUCUCUCUCUCUCUAUAUAUAUAUAUAUAUAUGUCUGUCUGUCUGUCUGUCUGUAUUCUUUCUUUGCUUCUCCUCUUUUUCUUUCUGCAACAGUGUCACUGUGCAACCCAGGCUGUGAUGGAACUCCAGAGAUCCCUGUUGCAGGGAUUAAAGGUGUCUAUCAGGUUCCCCUGUAGCUUUUAUCACAUCCUGGGCUGCAUCUUAGCAGUUGGUGACAGUUUACAGGUGGUGGUCAUUUCUGUCACUACCAGAACAUUUUGUACAUGGUUAUUUUUGUCCAUCGUUUAACCAGUUGGAGUUUGAGUGGUAAACUGUCAUUUGUACAGUGUAACCAUAAGAUAUAUUACCUAGAAACUUAAGACUUGUGUCCAAAGGAACCCACAUCUUGUAUUUUUAAAAAAAUGGGGGGGGGCAGUUGUUUCCAUUUCUUAAUAAACAGUUUGAAGCGAGGUCUUUGUUCAGUGUUCCAUCUGGGGCUGUGGAGCAAAGAAUGCUCCGUCCGUUCUCUUCAUGGUGUGCAGCUAGGAACUGUGCUUACCAGAAUUGUGCAGCCAAAGUGGCACCUCUGGAACUUACUACAGGUGACUCUUGAGCCACUGAGCUAAAUGUUAAGUUCCCAAGGUACAACUGCCCAAGUUCCCAAGGUACAACUGCCCAAGAGGCAAUAGGAUUCUUAUAGGCCAUGUUCACUUCCGUGUAUAUCCUUAAUUACUUUUUUCUUUUACAGUGCUGUAGGGGGAACCUGAGGCCUCACACAUGUUAGCUAGGACUCACCACUGACCUUUGCUCCCAGCCCAAAAUCAUGUUUAUUUCUUGUGACUGAUAGAAGCCUCUUCCUACCCAGGAAGCCUACACAGCAGAGAGAAAGCCGUGCACCAUCCCAGCUUAUCACUCUGACUUACCAGGACAGAUUAGAUACUUGACCACUUCUAGUUCCAGUAGCAUGGAAGAGCCAAGGUUAUGGGCUCCCAGCAAGCAUUUGUAAAUGAGAGCCUCUUAGCUGGCAGCUUGAGCUAGGACAAAAAUUUACUUCAGGACAAUUGGUGGGAGCACCAGCAUUGGGCCUCUACACAACACAGUUCAUUUUGAUUAUGUUUUUGAGACAAGGUCUCAUGGUGUAGCCAUAGCUGUCCUGGAACUCGUAAAUGAAGACUAGACUGCCCUUGGGCUUACAGAGAUCUAUCUGGCUCUGUCUCCAAGUGCAGAGAUGAAAAGGCAUGCAUCCCAUGACCAACUCCCAGCACUCUGUAAAAGCCAGGAAUGUCACAGAAACUUCUUGAGUAUCCUUUGUGGCCAUGUCUAUAUUCUGAAAACAGGCAGAGCUUAGGACUAGCUGUUUUGCCUUUGAAAAUGUUUUCUGUAGCUGGGUGUGGCACAGCAGUGGGAGGCCCUGGGUCCUGUCCUUCAUGCAAUACAAGUUAAUAAUUAAAUAAAAGUAGUUGCUGGGCGGUGGUGGCGCGUGCCUUUAAUCCCAGCACUUGGGAGGCAGAGGCGGGUGGAUUUCUAAGUUCGAGGCCAGCCUGGUCUACAAAGUGAGUUCCAGGACAGCCAGGGCUACACAGAGAAACACUGUCUGGGGGGGAAAAAAAGUAGUUAACAUGUUCUACCUCUAUGAUGGUACUCAUUGCUCGCCCUAGUGUAAUAUCUCCCCUUAUACCAUGCUCAGUCACCGAGCAACCACGUGAUUCAGUGCACUAAAAAGAUGCCAUCUACUAGUAACAUUGUAGGUUAUAAGUUCAUCAACUUGUCUGCAUGGUGACAGAAUGGGUCUUCUGUGCUGAAGAACCAUAGGCCUAUACUUAACCCUUAUAUUUCUGUCCCCUAGGGUGAUAUGUUCUUCAUUUUCCUGGCUGGUGGCUGACUGUAUUCAUGUUUGGAGGGCAGGGGGCUCUUUUCAGCUUCAAGUCUGGCACAGGCUGUCCCCUUUUUUCCUUACUUCUAAUGUGAGUCCUGCCAGGGCCUUGGCUGCAGUGCUGAGCUGCGUGCAUGCUUAGUCAGUCUUUGCCACUCAGCUACACCCAGCUAUUUUAUGGCCCCUUAGGGGAAGGAGCCACAGCUGCAUGAAAUGUAGAUUUCUCCUGACGUUAUGGUGUAGGCCCUAACAUUCCACGUACUGGACUGGUAGUAUAGUUCCCAGACACAUUUGUGCUAUUGAAAUCUAUUUACUCACUGUCUUCCCCUCAGUGAUAGAAACACCAGAUUGUCAGUAAACUGGCCCUGUCCAUCAACAGCCCUUUAGUGCUCACUGUGAGCUUCCUUUCUAAGACUGAGCUGUUGUGGCUAACUCCAUCCUUCUUCCCGCUAUCUUUAGAACACAGUCCAUUCCUUGCCCAGGGCUAGUACAAGAAGGUUGUCUUUUGCCUGGCCCAGGGUUUCCUUAGGUCAUAACCUUCUUCCAGUGUCUCUCUGUUCUUGAACCCCGACAGCUGUGUGUGCUUCCUUUGUCCACAGUAUGGCAGAAGGGGUUAUUUCCUGCCCCAGUGCAUGGGCUUCCUUUGGUCAGAUUCUCCCAUUGAGGUUCUCCCUGUCCUUGAACUCCAGCAGCUGCACUAGGGUGUGUCCAUCUCGGGCCUGGCCGUACCCAAGCGUCGUCAGCAGCUGCUGUGCUAGCUGCAUCUGUGUUUAACCUCCCUGAGCACCAGGCCUGGCUUCCCUAGGAAGGCCUGUGCCCAGAAGCUCUGAAGAAUUGGUUCCAGGUAAGAAGAUGGCCCACCCACUUCUUCAUUUACUCACAGCCCAAGUCAGUGACUACUGCUUAUUAUUAUUUUUUUAAUCUUUAUUUUUUUCAUUUCCUGAGAAUGACUCUUGCUGUGUGGCUAUGCUGGCCAGGACCUAUUGAUCCUCCUGCCUUGGGCUUCCCAGAACCAGAGUAGCAAGUGUGCUUCCUGUUCCCAUCUGGUGGCUUCCUCUUAACACUUCUUCCCCUGCCCCCAGGUUUCAUAGAAUUUUGGACUUAUUUUUGGGUUUAAUAGCCUUUUAGAGUAUUCAUGUCAUUUUUCUGAACCUUUGUCUACUUUCACAGAUGCCCCAGCUUUGACAUGACUUGAUCAUUGAGCUCCUGCCUUUAAAAACAAACACACACACAGUUAAAUAGCCCAGUUUUGUGGAGGAUUGUGUCUCUUAAGCAGAACAGAUCCCUGAUUUCUCAGCCCAUCAUUCUGUUUGCAGGGUUCACCCACCCCUCAGGUCAUUCCCACUAUGGAAAAGCACUCUUCAAAAAUGUUGUGGAUUUUUUUUUCCUACUGCUUUGAGUACACUUGCCAGCUUCUAGAACUGAGUACCUUUAUGCAAACAUGCAGAGUGUCUUGCAUGCUUUAGCAGCUCCCACUACACCAGUGUCACCUUAAGCCCCACUUCCUACUUGGGCAGAAACGGCCCACUUGGUUUUUUACAUAGAACCGUGGGGUGGGGGUUGCUCCCAGCCCUUGGCUAGGCUCUGGCCCCAUCAUUCUGCCUCUGUGAACGUGGCGACCUAAGGGUGUGCGCGGGACCACACCACGUCUAUCGCUGUCACUGACCUCUUAUUUCACUUAGCUGCAAAUCCUUAAAGCUUCUCCAUUUACAGUAGAGUGUCCUUCCUUUUCAGGGCUGAGUAUUAUUUCACUUCACGGGUGGGUAGGUUCCAUCUAUCUACUUAUUCAUUCCGCUCAGAGACUUGAUUAGAGUCACUUUAGAUUUCCUGAAAAAUUGCAAAGCUGUGAUGCUUGUCUCCAUGUGCCAUGCCUGGUCUCCACUUUUACCUUAGCAAAUAGACCAAUGUCCAGGCUUGUUUGUAGCCAAAAUCUCCACCUGGGUGACUCCCCUUCAGAUACUGUUCUGGGUCACAUUGCAAACAGUGCAGAUCUGAGUUAGGUGUGAAAUCCUGCACUUUGCUUAAAUCAGAAAUAACUCAGCACCUGUCCUUUCCUCACCAUCCUAGGAUGAUCCUUUCAAAAACAAAGCCUUAUUGUUUAGCAACAACUCCCAGGAACUUCAUCCAGACCCCUUCCAGGCUGAGGACCCCUUCAAGUCCGACCCAUUUAAAGGAGCUGACCCCUUCAAAGGUGAUCCUUUCCAAAGUGAUCCCUUCUCAGAGCAGCAGACAGCAGCUACAGGUAAAGGCUGGCUUCCACAGACCCAUUUGGAGGGGAUCCUUUCAAAGAAAGUGACCCAUUCCACAGCUCAAGCAGUGAUGACUUCUUCAAGAAACAGACAAAGAAUGACCCAUUUACCUCAGACCCCUUCACAAAGAACCCUUCCUUACCUUCAAAGCUCGACCCAUUUGAGUCCAGUGAUCCUUUUUCAUCCUCCAGCAUCUCCUCGAAAGGUUCAGAUCCCUUUGGAACCCUAGACCCCUUUGGAAGCAGCUCCUUCAGCAGUGCCGAGGGCUUCGCUGACUUCAGUCAGAUGUCCAAGGUCAGAGUACACCUGUAAGCCAGCUGGGUUCUUCAGACUUCCCUGAGUCCCCUGAUCCAUUCCAGCCACUCGGGGCUGACAGCGGCGACCCGUUCCAAAAUAAAAAGGGGUUUGGGGACCCAUUUAGUGGCAAAGAUCCAUUUGCCCCUUCCUCUUCAGCUAAACCUCCUAAGACCUCUUCCUCCGGCUUUGCCGACUUCACCUCUUUUGGCAAUGAGGAGCAGCAAUUGGCUUGGGCCAAGCGGGAGAGUGAAAAAGCGGAGCAAGAGCGGCUGGCGAGGCUGCGGCGACAGGAACAGGAGGACCUGGAACUGGCCAUCGCCCUCAGCAAGGCUGAUAUGCCAGCCUAGGUGACACAGGGGAAGCCGCAGCUGUAUGUACACAUCCCUUCAAGUUGUGCCAUGCCACAGCCAAGGACAGCUGGCCACAGGGCCUCAGGCUACAGGGACCUUGUUGAGAGGCCUCAGACACUGCUCACCCCUGUGGGUGGGCCAGGAAGGCAGCUAUAGGUAAAAGUCCUGGAACCUGCCAGUCUCUGAGGUAUGAUGGUGAUCAGUUAGGCUCUUCCUUCCAAUCAUUCAGUGGCUGACAGAGAAGGCCUCCAGUCUCCUAGCUGCAGACAAGCUCCACCCCCAGCCCUUCCUUGCAUCCACAAGACACCCCACACACAUGAUGUAUGCAUUCGUUGUAUAAAAAUGAAGUUUGAAUGAUUAAUAUAAAAUAUUUUAAUACAAAA